CUAUCCAAUACUCUCUACUAUCCUAUACCCUCUACUAUCCUAUACCCUCUAUUAUCCUAUACCCUGUAUUAUCCUAUACCCUGUAUUAUCUUAUACCCUCUAUUAUCCUACACCCUCUAUUAUCCUAUAGCCUCUAUUAUCCUACACCCUCUAUUAUCCUAUACCCUCUAUUAUCCUACACCCUCUAUUGUUCAGUACCCUCUAUUAUCCUAUACCCUCUAUUAUCCUAUACCCUCUAUUAUCCUAUACCCUGUAUUGUUCAGUACCCUCUAUUAUCCUAUACCCUCUAUUAUCCUAUACCCUCUAUUAUCCUAUACCCUCUAUUAUCCUAUACCCUCUAUUAUCAUAUACCCUCUAUUAUCCUAUACCCUCUAUUAUCCUAUACCCUCUACUAUCCUAUACCCUGUAUUGUCUUACACCCUCUAUUAUCCUACACCCUCUAUUAUCCUAUACCCUCUAUUAUCCUAUACCCUCUAUUAUUCUAUACCCUCUAUUAUCCUACACCCUCUAUUAUCCUACACCCUCUAUUAUCCUAUACCCUCUAUUAUCCUACACCCUCUAUUAUCCUAUACCCUGUAUUGUCUUAUACCCUCUAUUAUCUUAUACCCUGUACUAUCCUGUACCCUCUAUUGUUCAGUACCCUGUAUUAUCCUAUACCCUCUAUUAUCCUACACCCUCUAUUGUCCUACACCCUCUAUUAUCCUAUACCCUCUAUUGUCCUACACCCUCUAUUGUCCUACACCCUCUAUUGUCCUACACCCUCUAUUAUCCUACACCCUCUAUUGUCCUACACCAAAUCAAAUCAAAUCAAACUGUAUUUGUCACAUGUGCCGAAUACAACAGUGAAAUGCUUACUUACAGGCUCUAACCAAUAGUGCAAAAAUGUAUUAGGUGAACAAUAGGUAAGUAAAGAAAUAAAACAAGAGUAAAAAAUAAAUAAAAAAUUGCUAUUUCGUUACUGUUUCACCACUGUUUCACCACUGUUUUGUUACAGUUUCACCACUGUUUCACCACUGUUUCAUUACAGUUUCACCACUAUUUCGUUGCUAUUUCGUUACUGUUUCACCACUGUUUCGGCAUUGUUUCUCCACUGUUUCGCCAAUGUUUUGUUACAGUUUGACCAUUGUUUCGUUACAGUUUCGCCACUGUUUCCUUACAGUUUCACCACUGUUUCUCCACUGUUUCACCACUGUUUCGUUACAGUUUCACCACUGUUUCGUUUUUGUUACAGUUUCACCACUGUUUCACCACUGUUUCAUUACUGUUUCACCA
Long non-coding RNA from Oncorhynchus tshawytscha (Chinook salmon), 1272 nucleotides. The record is from Ensembl. Lineage: Eukaryota; Metazoa; Chordata; Actinopteri; Salmoniformes; Salmonidae.